Molecule: transfer RNA, 70 nt
Filed under: Marmota monax (woodchuck)
Lineage: Eukaryota; Metazoa; Chordata; Mammalia; Rodentia; Sciuridae
Description: tRNA.Undet
Source: RNAcentral
GGGGUUGUGGCUCAGUGGUCGAGCACUUGCCUAGUGCCUAGAGGCUCUGGGUUCAGUUCUCAGCACCACA